UAGGGAAUAUUAGUAAUGGGCGAAAGCCUGAACUAGCAACACCGCGUGUGCGAAGAAGGCCUUCGGGUUGUAAAGCGCUUUUAGAGGAGAUGAGAAAGGACAGUAUCCUCUGAAUAAGCCUCGGCGAACUACGUGCCAGCAGCCGCGGUAAAACGUAGGAGGCUAGCGUUAUCCGGAUUUAUUGGGCGUAAAGCGCGUGCAGGCGGUCUGACAAGUUGGAUGUGAAAGCUCCUGGCUUAACUGGGAGAGGUCGUUCAAAACUGUUAGACUAGAGAAUGGGAGAGGGAGGUGGAAUUCCGGGUGUAGUGGUGAAAUGCGUAGAUAUCCGGAGGAACACCAGUGGCGAAAGCGGCCUCCUAGACCAUUUCUGACGCUAAGACGCGAAAGCUAGGGUAGCAAACG
RNAcentral lists this ribosomal RNA (402 nucleotides) under uncultured prokaryote. RNAcentral's name for it is "bacterial SSU rRNA". It matches the Rfam family "Bacterial small subunit ribosomal RNA", at positions 355 to 774 of the family's 1533-position model. The record is from RNAcentral.